AACCAUAUCAUCUGGGAACAAAAUAAUUUUAUUUCUUUAUUUCCAAUUGGAUGCCUUUUAUUUCAUUUUCUUGCCUAAUUGCUCUGGCUAGAAUGUCCAGUAGUAUGCUGAAUAGAAGUGGUGACAGUGGGUCAUCUUUUUC
This is a long non-coding RNA of Myotis brandtii (Brandt's bat), 142 nucleotides long. RefSeq lists it as uncharacterized. The transcript has 3 exons. The record is from RefSeq and is a predicted model, not a curated record. Lineage: Eukaryota; Metazoa; Chordata; Mammalia; Chiroptera; Vespertilionidae.